CGGGACACGUGGUAUCCUGUCUGAAUAUGGGGGGACCAUCCUCCAAGGCUAAAUACUCCUGACUGACCGAUAGUGAACCAGUACCGUGAGGGAAAGGCGAAAAGAACCCCGGCGAGGGGAGUGAAAAAGAACCUGAAACCGUGUACGUACAAGCAGUGGGAGCACGCUUAGGCGUGUGACUGCGUACCUUUUGUAUAAUGGGUCAGCGACUUAUAUUCUGUAGCAAGGUUAACCGAAUAGGGGAGCCGAAGGGAAACCGAGUCUUAACUGGGCGUUAAGUUGCAGGGUAUAGACCCGAAACCCGGUGAUCUAGCCAUGGGCAGGUUGAAGGUUGGGUAACACUAACUGGAGGACCGAACCGACUAAUGUUGAAAAAUUAGCGGAUGACUUGUGGCUGGGGGUGAAAGGCCAAUCAAACCGGGAGAUAGCUGGUUCUCCCCGAAAGCUAUUUAGGUAGCGCCUCGUGAAUUCAUCUCCGGGGGUAGAGCACUGUUUCGGCAAGGGGGUCAUCCCGACUUACCAACCCGAUGCAAACUGCGAAUACCGGAGAAUGUUAUCACGGGAGACACACGGCGGGUGCUAACGUCCGUCGUGAAGAGGGAAACAACCCAGACCGCCAGCUAAGGUCCCAAAGUCAUGGUUAAGUGGGAAACGAUGUGGGAAGGCCCAGACAGCCAGGAUGUUGGCUUAGAAGCAGCCAUCAUUUAAAGAAAGCGUAAUAGCUCACUGGUCGAGUCGGCCUGCGCGGAAGAUGUAACGGGGCUAAACCAUGCACCGAAGCUGCGGCAGCGACGCUGAUGCGUUGUUGGGUAGGGGAGCGUUCUGUAAGCCUGUGAAGGUGUGCUGUGAGGCAUGCUGGAGGUAUCAGAAGUGCGAAUGCUGACAUAAGUAACGAUAAAGCGGGUGAAAAGCCCGCUCGCCGGAAGACCAAGGGUUCCUGUCCAACGUUAAUCGGGGCAGGGUGAGUCGACCCCUAAGGCGAGGCCGAAAGGCGUAGUCGAUGGGAAACAGGUUAAUAUUCCUGUACUUGGUGUUACUGCGAAGGGGGGACGGAGAAGGCUAUGUUGGCCGGGCGACGGUUGUCCCGGUUUAAGCGUGUAGGCUGGUUUUCCAGGCAAAUCCGGAAAAUCAAGGCUGAGGCGUGAUGACGAGGCACUACGGUGCUGAAGCAACAAAUGCCCUGCUUCCAGGAAAAGCCUCUAAGCAUCAGGUAACAUCAAAUCGUACCCCAAACCGACACAGGUGGUCAGGUAGAGAAUACCAAGGCGCUUGAGAGAACUCGGGUGAAGGAACUAGGCAAAAUGGUGCCGUAACUUCGGGAGAAGGCACGCUGAUAUGUAGGUGAAGCGACUUGCUCGUGGAGCUGAAAUCAGUCGAAGAUACCAGCUGGCUGC
RNAcentral lists this ribosomal RNA (1394 nucleotides) under Escherichia coli. Its description in RNAcentral is "partial 23S ribosomal RNA". It matches the Rfam family "Bacterial large subunit ribosomal RNA", at positions 418 to 1797 of the family's 2925-position model. Lineage: Bacteria; Pseudomonadati; Pseudomonadota; Gammaproteobacteria; Enterobacterales; Enterobacteriaceae. The record is from RNAcentral.